UGGACAGAACAUCUAUUCACGGAGACACCAUUGAUUACACGAAAGAGCUCCUGGAAAUAAUCAACAAAUUGCAAGAACAAGAAAUGGAAGAGGCUAAAAAUUAACUUAACCUAAUGGGCAUCUACAAGGAGCUAAAGCCAAAUGAAGUUUGGUGAGAAAGUCCCCCAAGCUUGAUGUGGAGAGGAAGGACAUGGAUACCCGGAUUGGUAUAUGUCGUGCAGCUAAGCCAGGAUUGUUGCUAUCAGGCUAUGGGGGAAGAGGUCUGUAGAAGAAGACAAAAAAUUAUUUUGGAGUAGUUUACAAGGCUUGAAGAUAUGGAUUUUUAAAGUUGUUCUUCAUAGGAAUUUUACAAGUGAGAAGGUUUAAUAAUAAUGUCUUAUAAAUAAAGUGUUGCUCAUUUA
This is a long non-coding RNA of Quercus robur (English oak), 401 nucleotides long. RefSeq lists it as uncharacterized. The record is from RefSeq and is a predicted model, not a curated record. The transcript is spliced from 2 exons. NCBI's taxonomy places the organism in Eukaryota, Viridiplantae, Streptophyta, Magnoliopsida, Fagales, Fagaceae.